GACUUUGUUCUUUACUAGAAGGUGGUGGUAUUAGGCUUUCCUAUUCCCUAUUCUAUUUUCUCAGUGAGGAAAUGACAGAAAAAGUUUGUAUUUCUGACUUGACUAUCUAACUACUGGGAUAAUUAGAUUUAACUUCUGCUAAUCUCUGACCUGUCAGGGUCUUUCAGCUGCUCAAGUACAAAUCUCAUAUUUAAUUCUCUUUUAGGUUCCAUGCAAUAGUGGUGAACCUUUUAGAGCUUUCAAUGAUAUAAACAGCCUAUUGUAGCACAUGGGCCAUAGGUUUGCCACCACUGCAUUAGAGAAUUUAAAUUUUUGCCUUCUACUACAUAGCAAAAUAUAUUUAGGUUAUGAUAAGUAAAGAACAUUGCUUUUUGAUCAGAAAUAAACUGCUUUUUUUUUUUCUUUAACUGCUUCCCACCUUUGAAAUUUUCAGGCUUUCUCAGAAGAUUACUAAUAAUAUUGUUUAUUUUCUGCCAAGAAAUGCUGAUGUUGACCAGAGGCUGUGAAGCUGAGGCCUCAUAAGUCAGUUGGGAAGGGAAGACAAAGGCAGUUUUGCUGAAAUGAUUCCUGAGCAUAAGCUUAUAUUUUCUUCGGUGCUGUGAGUAAAUUUUCUCAAUCGGUGGUGUCAAUAGAAAACAGGGAUGCCCAGCUCUUCUGUACCCCACAUGGUCCCUGAUAUUUGGUCUGUUCUAUUUUGUGUAACUUGUUAAAGAACAGCCCUCAUGCUUUCAGGAUGCAGUUCUGAAAACAGAUAAGGGACAAAGCUCAGGAGCUGAUUAUUGAUCACCUCCCCAAACCAAUCAAGGUGGCAUCCUUAGCUGGGCCAGGGGGUCAAGUAGAAAUAGAACAGAAUUUUCUUAACAAUAAAUUGAAGACAAUCACGGCUUAUUUUGGUGACCUGAUCCGAAAACCAGCCUCUGAAACCUAACUGUGAAGCAACACAAAGACAAAAAGAUCCUGUAAUAAUCAGAACAUUGUUCACAUAAGACACUGGGAAUGUCUUUCUGUGUUCACUGAUACUUUGUACACAUACUCUUCUAACAUCACACAAUAUGGAAAUUUACAUGAGUUUAAUGAAUAUUAAUGAAGUGCUUUGAGAUCUUUGGAUUAUAUUAAUGAAGUACUAUGUGUAUUGUACAUUAGGAUAGUAAGUGUGUGAUAUGGACAGGGGACAAGGUUGCUCCUCUGCUUUAUUUCAGCAUGUGUCUGUAUGUGUGUAUUUAUAUUUUUUGUUUUUUUAUCUUUGUGAAUAUAUACAUACACACACCUAUACACAUUCAUAUGUUUAUAUAAAAAUAAUUGUUUUAAUAGAGAAAAAUACAAAGAAAAUUAUGAAUGAGUGAUGGUUUAUCCACCCAUUUAACCUCUACUGAAAUAAUGUACAUUUAAUGCUGAAGGUGUAUAAUUUAAUUUAGAACAGUACAGAAUGAUACAAAAAGAAGAAUUUCACACCCCUUCUCUACCGUUUAUUUAUCUACCUAAAGAUAAUCACAGCUGUGUUAGGACACAAAGGAAUUGUAGCAUACCCUAAUACACUGUUUUUCCUCACUGUUUAAUACUUUGCCACCUUUUUUAUUUAAUACAAUUUUUAAUCAGUAUUUCUUGAAGACCUUUCCAUAUCAGCACAUACAUAGAGACCUACCUCAUUUUUUUAAUGUUUUUUUUUGUAUUCUGCUUUCUCAAUAUACCAUGAUUAAAUUAGUUGCCUAUUGGUGGUCACUUGGGUUGCUUUCAGAUUUUUUACAUUUGUCAACUGUUUGCACUGUGUUUAGGUAUAUAUUGUUGAACGUGUAUCCAUUGGGUAAAUAUGUAGCAGUUUAUAUUGCUAGGAGUUUGCUUUCAUUUUGUUGUAGUUUGGCUUAGUUUUUGAGGCCUCACUGUGUCACCUAGACUGGCCUCAAACUUGUGAUCCACCUCCAGAGUGCUGGGAUUGCAAGAGUGCACUAUCACACCCAGAAGUCUGUUUAUUUUAACUCUGAUAGGCAAAAUCAGAUUGCCUCAGUAAAAUUGGGCUCACUUAGCCUUUUAGAGAGUUUUCUUGUUUUCAUGUCUUUGCAUCAUCUGGAAUUUGCUUUUGAACAUCCUUUUAAAAAAAAUGAGUGUUUUUCAGAUUUCCUUUGCAAAUUCAAUGUGAAAUAUAUUUUGUAAUACAGAAAUUUAUAUUAUUUUUCUAUUAAAAUGGCAAUGAAAAGAGGAGGCAUAGUGUUGCUUAAUUAUUCACCUAAAAUGUGUUCUGUAAUUUUAACAAGUACGAGUGACAUACAGUUCCUUGCCUUUAGGGUUAGAUGCCGGAAUUUUAUCUUUUAAUAAUGUGAGCAUGUGAAAUAUUAAAACACCAUAUUGGUUGGGAUAAGGCUAGGGAAGAGGAUAUAGCUCAGUUUUAGAGUGUGUGCUUAUGUGCUUAGUGUGCAAGGGGCACUCAGCUCAUUUCCCAGCACCAAAUAGUAAUAUUAUGAACAAAGCCAACUUUUGAGUAUGCUAACAUUAGUCCUUUAAAAUUUUACAAUGUGAUUAUUUUUGUUAGAAAUAAAAUAAUACACUUAAUUUCUUUUUCCUACGGUAACAUUUUACAAAAGAGUUACUGGACAAUUGUUUUAUUCUCAAAUUGAUCUCAAACUGGAUGUAAAAAUUUGAAUCAUUUUUUUUUUAAUAGUAGUAUAAGAACUUUGGCUGCUAUUAGUUGUUACUCUUUAUUUUUCUGGAUAUAAGCUUUUUGAGAAGUCCAGUUUCUGUCCCUGUAUAGUAAAAUGUAGUUUCUCAGUUUUUUGUUUUGUUUUAAUGCUUUAUAUUUUAUACUACCUUUGGAAUAAACCUCAUUCUUCAUUGGACAACUUAAAGGCUUUGAUUUCUUUAAAAAUUGAAAUUUUAAUAUGUGUGCUACUUUGGCAUUCACUUAACUUUGAUAUGCACUGAUCACUGCUUGAAAAAGACAAGACUGAAGAUUGUACUUUGAAAUUUAUUGAGUAAUUUUCAUAAAUAUCAAAUGAGAGGUUUUUAGAUUUUUGUAUUCUGUGUAGUUUAAAAAUAAUAGUAGUUAUAGUAAAUAAAUAAAUAAUAGUAAUUAAAGAGAGGCAAAGUAACAAAUGGGAAAAGGAUGACUCAUCAUUCUGUAUCUGAGUACAUUUUCCAAAAUGUUGGCAAGGAACUUCUGAAUUGAAAUCUUGAAUGUAUUGAAUCUGUCAAGGUACACAGCUGGUGCCUUUGUGAAUGUUCAUUAUCUAUUAAUCAGGUGGUAAGUGGUGCAAUGUAGCAAAGCUGAAGAAUAGAACUCAGUUGUCACCUUUUGACUAAAGUAUUCUAGCACUAAUCACAAGAGGAAGUAACUAAUUUAUAGACUUUAAUAGAUUGUCAGUGUUCAAAAGGACUUUAGAAAUGUUCGUUACUUUGUGACUUGUUCAAAUAAAAUCUUACUAAGAAGCCAAAUAUGUAAAGUAGAUUAAAAACAAAGCUCAUGGAACUGCUUAGGAUAAAAUAAGAAUCAAGAAAUCAGCAGCCCUGUUCGGAUCCAGCCUGUUCUUCUUAAUAAACUGUAAAACCUUUGAGCCAGGGAUUUACCUCAGUGUCACCGACCCUGCCUUGCAAGCUCAAGGUCCAGAGUUUGAUUCCCAGUACAAAAAAAAAUUGUAAAACCUUUAAAAGAAGAAUUAUUUAAUAAAAGUAAAUAUAUAUUUUAA
Molecule: non-coding RNA, 3674 nt
Organism: Heterocephalus glaber (naked mole-rat)
Lineage: Eukaryota; Metazoa; Chordata; Mammalia; Rodentia; Bathyergidae
Source: RefSeq, a predicted model, not a curated record